GGCAGGUAGGAGCACAUGGAACUCUUGUGGGAGCGGUGAAAUGCGUAGAUAUCAAGAGGAACGCCAACGGCGAAAGCAGUGUGCCGGGCCUGUCCUGACGCUCAGGUGCGAAAGCGUGGGGAGCGAACGGGAUUAGAUACCCCGGUAGUCCACGCCGUAAACGAUGUGUACUAGGUCGCGGUCGGUCUGACCCGCUCGCGGCCGAAGCAAAAGUGGUAAGUACACCGCCUGGGGAGUACGGUCGCAAGGCUAAAACUCAAAGGAAUUGACGGGGGCUCACACAAGCGGUGGAGCAUGUGGCUUAAUUCGAAGCAACGCGAAGAACCUUAUCCUGGGUUUGACAUGUAUGGAUGCCCUCGUCGAAAGGCGAGUAAGCUGCCUUCGGGUGAAACUUACACAGGUGCUGCAUGGCUGUCGUCAGCUCGUGUCGUGAGAUGUUGGGUUAAGUCCCGUAACGAGCGAAACCCUUGUCGUUAGUUGCCAGCGCGUCAUGGCGGGGACUCUAACGAGACUGCCGGUGUUAAACCGGAGGAAGGUGGGGAUGACGUCAAGUCCUCAUGGCCUUUAUGCCCAGGGCUGCACACGUGCUACAAUGGUGUCGACAAAGCGACGCAAGGCCGCGAGGCGGAGCAAAUCGCAAAAACGGCGCCUCAGUUCGGAUUGUAGGCUGCAACUCGCCUACAUGAAGUUGGAAUCGCUAGUAAUCGCAGAUCAGCUAUGCUGCGGUGAAUAUGUUCCUGAGCCUUGUACACACCGCCCGUCAAGUCAUGGAAGCCGGGAGCGCUUGAAGCCGGGUAGCUAACCUUCGGGAGGCGCCUGUCGAUGGUGAGUUCGGUGACUGGGGCUAAGUCGUAACAAGGUAGCCGUAGGGGAACCUGCGGCUGGAUCACCUCCUU
RNAcentral lists this ribosomal RNA (896 nucleotides) under uncultured Planctomycetota bacterium. Its description in RNAcentral is "bacterial SSU rRNA". It matches the Rfam family "Bacterial small subunit ribosomal RNA", at positions 646 to 1532 of the family's 1533-position model. The record is from RNAcentral. Lineage: Bacteria; Pseudomonadati; Planctomycetota.